RNAcentral lists this long non-coding RNA (2125 nucleotides) under Homo sapiens (human). RNAcentral's name for it is "HSALNT0318421". Lineage: Eukaryota; Metazoa; Chordata; Mammalia; Primates; Hominidae. The record is from RNAcentral.
AAUUUUCUUAGGAUAAUGGCCUCCAGCUUCAUCCAUAUUGCUGCAAAAAAAUGUGAUUUUAAUGUUUUUUAUGGCUGAGUAUACUUUCAGUCCAAUUAGAUUAUUUCCUUUCUGCAAGAAUCAUUGUCCAUUUUUAACAUUCAGUUGAGUCUAGGAAACUUGCAUAAUUUUUAUUCCACAUUUUUCUUCUUGAAAAAAAGACUUGGACUUUCUAAUUCCAUCUUAGCCUAGUGGAUAGAGUAAAUACUCCGGAAAUAAAAAGUGCCAGACAAGGGUCUUUAGUAGAAUGAGGAGCAUGGCACAGAGAGAACCUUCUUCAAUGAUGCUACAAAUCUUCAGUAAAAACUCCCAUGUGCGCUCCCGCACACACAAACACACAAACACACACACUCUUACUUAUUUGGAUUUCUUGUUAAAGAUUAUUAUUUUGUAGCUAGAUAAUAAUGGAACAAAACAGUCAGUGUGUGUGGUGGAGAGAACUGAUUGUAUCUGUAAUGCAUGAGCGUUAACUAGAGUCAUUCAUGUACAAAGGUUAAAAACGAUGUGGUAUACAGGCAAAGGAGGAUAUGUGCAUUUUCACUGGAUCUUGUUGUUUGGGCACCUGAGACAAGCUGGCAGUCACUAAAUCUCAGCGAUCACUCAAUGUGUGCCAGGCAUUCGCACACAAUAUCACUAACACCCAUGACAGUCCUUCAAGAGAGGUUCUGCUGUCUGAGAGAUUAUGUGACACGCCUAAGGUCACAGGAUCAGCAAAUACUAGGGCUGAGAUUUAAACCCAGAACUGUCUACUGCCAAAGCUUUUGCGCUCUCCCUCGUGCCACGUUGCUUCUCAUUUUGGGCUUGGUCUCCACUUCCCAGUCCUUGAAGGAGUUCUCCAGGUCUGCCCCAUUAGCACUGCAUCUCAGAAGGAAGCUGCAGCUGCGCCGCCAAUCUCCCGGUGGUAGGUGCUUAAUAAACAUUAUGAAGUGCAUGAACAAAUGAAUAGCCCCUGAUGGACAGACAUGCUUGAGAAACACUAUUUUUCACAUUCCUAUCUACACUCAAGAUUUUACCUAUGAUAGCAGGCUGAAGAUUCCCAGGAUCUUACAUCCUAGCAGCCCUAACAGUUCAGCUGAGCUGAAAGGAUGAGGAGGAAGCCCUUGGCGAUGGAACUUCUAGACAAGCCAAGGCCUGCCUGGCAGAGCUGGGAGCAGAUUGAGGAAGACACCACUGCCCCUCCACCCACCCCGCCGCCGCCUUCAUGUUGCCUUGAUCUUCUAUCCUCAGCUGACAUUUUUGUCGCUCAUCUCUGAUUGAAGAAACCUCAGUUUCUUAUUUGAUCUUUCCUGGACAACCGUUUAAUAGGCAGCAAGAAAAAGAGAUGAGAGAAAGUGAUUUUUCAUCCCUGACUUGACAUGAUAUUUUCCUUUUAACAAUUUAUCCAUACCUCUCCUCUCAGUUUCUCUCCUUUCAUAUACUCACAUACUAUCUGCCUCUCUGCAUAGCAAAGCAACCUUUUGAGCAGUUCUCUAAGAAGAUUCUAAAAAGCAAGGAAAAAGCAGGAUCACAAUAGCUCCUUCCCCAGUUCAAUUCAGCAAGCUUUUCUGAGCACCAGUCCAGAUGCAAGGCACAAUGAGAGGCAAGAUGAAGAAUGGGGGUUACUCUAUCCUCAUCGGACCAAUUUAGAAUCCAGUACAUGCACAUACAGGAAAAAUCCAAUGUGUUCAUCAUCUGUGUGUUCCAUAAUCAUUUACUGAGCACCUUUUAUCAAAAAGAGAAACCAUUUUUAAAGUAAACUGGAUUCUCUAUUAUAACAACAGUGAAGUUUGGCAAAAUGUUUUCCUCAUGUGAAGGCUUGAAUUUAAAGAAUUUUAAUUUAUGUUCAUUAUGAUUCAAUCCAACAUUUGUCUUUUUGUAUGUAUUAGAUCUUGCGAGGGACACAAAGAUAAUCAAGUUGUGGAUCUAGGUCUUAAGACGUAUAAAAUUGAGUGGGUCUAUGUCUUCCAAUACACAAAGUCAAGUGGAGAGACAUAAAUAACACUAACUUCAGUGCAAUGUAUACUAAAGGAUACGGAAUGACUUAUUCAGCAGCUACUAUGUGCCUGGUGCUUUACCCAUAUGAUUAAUAAAGCAUCUUUUGGUGAUA